Long non-coding RNA from Etheostoma spectabile (orangethroat darter), 159 nucleotides. RefSeq lists it as uncharacterized. The record is from RefSeq and is a predicted model, not a curated record. The transcript has 3 exons. NCBI's taxonomy places the organism in Eukaryota, Metazoa, Chordata, Actinopteri, Perciformes, Percidae.
AACGGCAUGCAACAGACAGGCAGUAUGUGUCAAUUUGUUAUAAACGUGUGCUCUUUUAAAAGUAGUAAACAUUGUUUGCCAAUUACUUACAUUAAAUGUUUAAAAAUCAGUUACAUAAGGUACUGCUUAUAUCAUUUCACCAUCUGUACACAAAUGUAA